Molecule: non-coding RNA, 320 nt
Organism: Pelobates cultripes (western spadefoot toad)
Lineage: Eukaryota; Metazoa; Chordata; Amphibia; Anura; Pelobatidae
Source: the annotation of a GenBank genome assembly
UUCUCAUUCAGUGCUAUAUAUAUAUUUGUGGACACUAUAGAGCAAGUAUUGUAAACUAGGACGAGGUGGUAAGUGUCCAUUAAUGAAAGGUUUUAUAGCGCUUCAGCCAUGAUGGGAAAUACCGAUCUGUGUUGUCUAUGGGGGAUAUUUAUCAAAGUGUUCUGAAAAGUAACUUUUAAAUCCCAUCAUUCUUUUAGAUCGUGUAUUUAAGUGAUCUAAAAAGUGGUGGGUUUUCUUUUAGUUAUUUCUUUAUAAUGGAAGGAAAAAGAGAAAUGAAAGACAACACUUUUGUGUAAUAAAUCGAUGCCGAAACACAAUAU